This 366-nucleotide ribosomal RNA is filed under the name uncultured organism. Its description in RNAcentral is "bacterial SSU rRNA". It matches the Rfam family "Bacterial small subunit ribosomal RNA", at positions 526 to 896 of the family's 1533-position model. The record is from RNAcentral.
CGGAGGAUCCAAGCGUUAUCCGGAAUCAUUGGGUUUAAAGGGUCCGUAGGCGGUUUAGUAAGUCAGUGGUGAAAGCCCAUCGCUCAACGGUGGAACGGCCAUUGAUACUGCUAGACUUGAAUUAUUAGGAAGUAACUAGAAUAUGUAGUGUAGCGGUGAAAUGCUUAGAGAUUACAUGGAAUACCAAUUGCGAAGGCAGGUUACUACUAAUGGAUUGACGCUGAUGGACGAAAGCGUGGGUAGCGAACAGGAUUAGAUACCCUGGUAGUCCACGCCGUAAACGAUGGAUACUAGCUGUUGGGAGCGAUCUCAGUGGCUAAGCGAAAGUGAUAAGUAUCCCACCUGGGGAGUACGUUCCCAAGAAUG